GGAGGGUUGCGCUGAAUGGUAAGGCAGCGGUUUGCUAAACCGUGACGGUGUUAAAAGCCGUCUGUGGGUUCGACUCCCACACCCUCCG
This 88-nucleotide transfer RNA is filed under the name bacterium. Its description in RNAcentral is "tRNA-Ser". It matches the Rfam family "tRNA". Rfam says of the family: Transfer RNA (tRNA) molecules are approximately 80 nucleotides in length. The record is from RNAcentral.